GUUAAGUGCCCCGGUUCUUCAUAAUCAUAUACCCCUACUCUGUUCUCAAAGGUGGAAGGACCAUUCUGCCAUCUCUCUGCCAUGUGCAACACUCCUCUGUCCUCUCCCCAGUCUGGCCCAGUAUUUCACUUGGUCUGUAGCUAAAACUCUUCAGGAGAAAGCUAUUCUCUGUGAAUUGCUGUUCGUGUGCCAUCAGCCGUUCGGUCACCAGGGCAAAGCAAUGGAAUAUUAUUCAGCUAUGAAAAGGAAUAAAGUACUAAGGCAUCCUGCAACGUAAAUGAACUUCAAAAUGGUCAGCGUAUCUUGGAUUUGGCGUGACUCCUUCCAUCCUUGUCUUUAUGCAUUUAUCAUAUAUACCUAGUGUCGAGGGGGGAAAGAAUCCGCCUGACAAUGCAGACCCAGCAGAGGAAAUAAUCACCAUCAACAACAAAUCGUCAGGGGUGCUGACAAUUCAUUCACCUUAAAGGAAUCACUGAACCUCCAGGCGGAAAAAGAUCUUAAGGUUCAUCCAGUCCAACCCCCUACGUGUUGCUUGGACUGCCUGCUAAGCCUGGAAAAGGAAACAUGCUGCUCACUCUCCUUGAAAGAAACGGUACCACCGCAGCCAGAGAACUGGCUCUGCUCAGAGCAGGUCAAGCCAAGGAGAGCCAAACCUGAACUUCAUCCCAAGUCGGAC
Long non-coding RNA from Bos taurus (domestic cattle), 676 nucleotides. The record is from Ensembl. Lineage: Eukaryota; Metazoa; Chordata; Mammalia; Artiodactyla; Bovidae.